Vidua chalybeata is the source of this 516-nucleotide long non-coding RNA. RefSeq lists it as uncharacterized. NCBI's taxonomy places the organism in Eukaryota, Metazoa, Chordata, Aves, Passeriformes, Viduidae. The transcript is spliced from 3 exons. The record is from RefSeq and is a predicted model, not a curated record.
CACAGAAGUUUUUUCAGCUACUGUAAAUUUCUUUGAGAACAUUCAUUUCAUAUUUGCCCAAAUGCCUGCACUCAUCUCCUUCUCUAAAGCAUCUAUUUUCUAAAAGACAAAAGUGGCCAAGCUAUUGUGCUUCCACCGGAUGCAUCUCAUCAGCAGUUUGGCUGCAGGAGAAAAUGAACCAUUAAGCUUUCGUUUCUUGCCUUUGAAUCACUUCUAGAGAAUCCUCUGCCUUCACCUCUUCGAGAGUUCCAGUUCUAAGGACACAAAGGGAAGAGCCUGCACAAUUCUUGCAAUUGCUGUUCCUAAGUGUGCUUUGCUGAUAUGGAAACACAAUCAAUCAUGAUUCAAACAGGUGUGUGCACAUGCUCCAGACUAACAGCAUCUGUUCAGGUCAGUUCUGCAAACAAGAGGCACAAUCCAUACAGCUGAAGCUUUGUCAAGUAAGAACAACAGAAGUCAUUUAAUGGAGGACACAAGAAGGCUUCUUUAUACCAAAUAAAUUUGAUUUUCUUUGAA